This 2396-nucleotide long non-coding RNA is filed under the name Drosophila guanche. The record is from RNAcentral. Lineage: Eukaryota; Metazoa; Arthropoda; Insecta; Diptera; Drosophilidae.
UGUACUAUAAACGAAACGAGUCCAAAACCAAAAUGACAAAAACAAAUGAACACAAAUAUUAUAUGAAAAAAGCUAUACCAAAAACAAAAAAAAAAAACAAAGCAAAGAACGUUUAUGUACAAUGCAUACUUUUUUCCACUUUAUAUACUAUGUACCAGCAAAAGCAUACAUAUAUGUAUAACUAACUAUUUUUAACUCAAUUUGAAAAGCAUAUGGGAAAAACAGAAGCAUAAUUUUUAAAGAAUAUUAAUAUUUCUCGUUACUUGUGUUGUUUUAUUCGUUUUGUAUUCAACAAGUAUGUACAUACACAAGCCUUACCCACACACUCACACACAUACAGAGACAGACAAACAAAAAACAAAAAACUCUCAAAAUAUCUAAAGAAAAAAUAUGAAAAAAGAAAAUAUUUCAGCAGAAUUAAAGUAAACCUAAAACAUGAGACAGGGCGAAUAUUUUAUACAACAUAAAUUACUUCUAAGAGAUUCGACAGCUUUCAUUUUAUUUUUAAAAUGUAUUUUUUAUUAAUUUGUGUUGAUCGAUUACAUUUCAAGUGCCAAAUCAAUGCACAAUAACCGUGUAGCCACCAGACAGGAAAGCAAAACAGAUGAGAACCGAUAGAAUCCGAUCAGCACACUUUCAAGCAUUCUCGUUGAAAAAAAAAAAACAAAUCUUUCUGGACCAACUACUUAAGAUCUAUAGAGCCCGGACUAAAUAUUAUGUUUACGUACCAUUUGCACCUAUACCCGCACUUAUACUCAUAUGAUUUCAAUCAUUCCAAAAUUUGUUAGAGAAUUGAAGCAGAACGAUUUGUACAUACGCAACUACUGAAACCAAUCAAGCAACCAACCAACAAACAGGCAAACAAACAGACAGACAUGGAUAAUUGAAUACUAUAUAGCAUAUAGUAUACACAAAUACAUACAGAUAUAUUUUUAUGAAAGUCAACAACACCAGAACAUGCAAUUGAGAUGAAAGAGCAAAACGUAAAGAAAGAGAAAAAGAAAAAGAAUAACAUAUCCUAAGACAACACAGCUUAAAGUUGAAAAAAAUAUAUAAAAAAAUAAAAUCGAAUCGAAUCGAACAAAUCGAGACAGAAGCUCCGAUAACGAUAUGUUCAAUUAGCGAUUACUGAUUACCGAUUAUAAAUGAGAUUAUGACAGCACAGGCUGGAGGGAGAAACUGGGUCACAUGAAAAUUUGAAACUCAUCUUCAGAAUCGGUUCUCAGUGAUAGCUGACUGACUGUCCGGUGUCACGCGUACUACCACAACAACUACAAAAAAACUACUACUACUUAUACUAACGUACUACAAUUUAUGACAACAGGUAAAAUGCAAUCCAAUAACUGCAGGCUGAAACAGUUUGCUCUUCCACCUUUCGGUUCUUUCGGUACCACCAAGUUAAGAUAACUGUUAUGGGAAUAUGAUAGUUUAUAAUAGAUUUUCUACAGUUCCAAUUUGAAGUGAAUAAAAAACAAAACAAAAAACUAUAGUUAAAGAAAUACGGAAAUAUCGUUAAAUAUAUACAUAAUGAUGAAAGAAACAAAAUAGAAAACAAAACAGAAAACGAAAGAAAACCAAAAACGAAAAGCUUCCGUUACCAAAACGUAUGCAUUUUACUAAUACAUAUAUUAUUUAUAUACCCGUCUCGUACCUUUUUGAUCUAUCGAACGAAAAAUAAAAGAAAACAUAACGUAGGAAUAGGCAGGGAAGGGAACAUUUACGAGUACACUCUACACACUGUCUAUGCUCACUGCAACUGUAUUUGUAAUAACUGUAAACGGAAUGAAAAAUCAGAGAAACAGAAUUAUGUAGAAUCAGAUCGAAGAAGCAGCACCUUAAGAAUCCACAAUAAGACACAGCAAUAAGAGGAACAGCAAUAGCAGAGAAUACAAACAUUCCAAUGCCGAAACCCUUAAAAAUAACUGAUGAAAAAAGCCAAGCAUAAAUAAGAGUAGUAAAAUAAAGCAAAAAAACAAAAAACAAAUACCAGAUAUUUGUUUGCAUUAGAUGAUUAUUUCAUUAGUUUAUUGAUUGAUUGAUUGCUUGAUUUCCCAGCUGAAUAUAACGUACCUAAGUUUUUAUUUAUUUCAUAAGACUGAAUUACUGGAAUAUGAUUUGAUUUAAAAUGUGUACAUUGUAUAUACAUAAAUAUGUAAUUAAGGGGUAAUAGCGAAACUUUACAACUUUUAAUAAUGGAGCAACCAAAUUUUUGAAAUUAUUCUGUACUUAUUUAUCAAAAAAGCGAAAUAGCGAAACAAAAAUAAGAUAAAACAUCUCGAAGGAAGCGCGAAAACAAAAAAACGGUUGAACUCUCGUCGAGCGAAAGAAGUUAAAAUACAACUAUUAAUAUAUUAUAUAUACGGGAAAGUCCCAAAAUGAUGAUGAUGAUGAUGAAG